UGGGUUUCAUGUUGAUGCAUUUGUUUCGCAUUUAGUCUGUCUGGUUGCAAGAUUAACGAUAUACAUAUCGAUGUAUUCAGUACUGAUGUGUCUGUUUUGGUUGUGAUGAUUAUUUGGAUAUCGGAUUGCCAUUGUAAUUUUUUUUUAUUAUGGUACUUAAUUUUCAAUUUUUUCUGUCGUUUCGAUCUCACACUAAGCUCGUG
Molecule: long non-coding RNA, 203 nt
Filed under: Gossypium raimondii (Peruvian cotton)
Lineage: Eukaryota; Viridiplantae; Streptophyta; Magnoliopsida; Malvales; Malvaceae
Description: long non-coding RNA (GRAI_LNC002352)
Source: RNAcentral